GAUAAAGCAGCCACAGAUGAAAUAGAAACGCGAGCCCCAUGCAGAGCAGAGGGACAGCUUUAAAAGCCACCUUUGCUUCAGAAGAUACUUCCACAGAAAACAAACGUUUCUCAAGCCAGUAUUAAUGCUAUUCAUGUUUCUCCCUCAGUCUGUCCCAAGGGGCACAGAGAUCACUGCUUGGCUUCUUACCUUGCUGGGAAGGACAUCAUCAUCAGAAGGAACACUGCUGAUCAGAAGAGAAGGGAAGAGAAGCGUUGAGAUUAGAUUCACUCCUGGAAACUCAUGCCAUACGUUCACAGAUCUAACUACAGAAAAUGAGCCCAGAAUCAGCUAUGCCGAAGUCAGAGGGACUCUAGGCUGUUUGCAGCAGUGUAACCUUUGUAGUCCACUAGUUAUGAUGUUGGAUGAGAAGACUUGAGUUCUAAUCCUGACUGUGGUGCUGUGUGAG
Molecule: long non-coding RNA, 448 nt
Organism: Dermochelys coriacea (leatherback sea turtle)
Lineage: Eukaryota; Metazoa; Chordata; Testudines; Dermochelyidae
Exons: 3
Source: RefSeq, a predicted model, not a curated record